Gastrolobium bilobum is the source of this 420-nucleotide long non-coding RNA. RefSeq lists it as uncharacterized. NCBI's taxonomy places the organism in Eukaryota, Viridiplantae, Streptophyta, Magnoliopsida, Fabales, Fabaceae. The transcript has 3 exons. The record is from RefSeq and is a predicted model, not a curated record.
GGAUUGAGACAUUUGGACCAACCGUGAGUGAUCAACCAUUGGAGCAAGCUAUGGAGCUUGAAUAGCUCAUUGGAAUUGGUGUAUAUUUGUAAAAGUGGAUUGCUGAAACUGUUGGUGAAGAACAAAGGUCGACUGAAGCAUUGAGGUAAGGAUGCUGCAGGAGCCUCUGGUGGCAAGUGGCCAUAUCUGGAUUAUGCAUGAAAUGUGGCAUUUCUUUUGAGUUUAUGCAUGCCUUUUGUAGUUGACAUGUAUAGGAUUUUAUUUUGAAAGCCCAUGGUCAUUUGUAUAUCUUGAUUCAUUGGAUGAACUUAGCCUAUGCUCAUGCCUUUGGUUACACCUUUUGUUGAUGGGAGCCAAGGGAAUGAUCAUAGUGUUUUGUAAGCUAAGUUCUAUGAUUUGUAAAGGAUAUGUAAUGUAAAU